GGGAGUAUGGCUCAAUUGGUAGAGAGCCUGCCUGGCAAGAAUAAGUCCCUGAGUUCAAAUCCCUUGUACUUCCA
Molecule: transfer RNA, 74 nt
Filed under: Dipodomys ordii (Ord's kangaroo rat)
Lineage: Eukaryota; Metazoa; Chordata; Mammalia; Rodentia; Heteromyidae
Rfam family: tRNA
About the family: Transfer RNA (tRNA) molecules are approximately 80 nucleotides in length.
Source: Rfam by way of RNAcentral